This 1503-nucleotide ribosomal RNA is filed under the name Triticum aestivum (bread wheat). Its description in RNAcentral is "partial small subunit ribosomal RNA". The record is from RNAcentral. Lineage: Eukaryota; Viridiplantae; Streptophyta; Magnoliopsida; Poales; Poaceae.
AUGGACGCAGCAGGCAGAGAUGCCAACCCGCUGGCCGGCUACCGGAUAGGCAAAACCCUCGGCAUCGGGUCCUUUGGUAAGGUGAAGAUCGCCGAGCAUAUAAUUACGGGCCACAAGGUCGCAAUCAAGAUCCUCAAUCGCCGUAAGAUCAAGAGCAUGGAGAUGGAAGAGAAAGUGAAAAGAGAAAUCAAGAUACUGAGGUUAUUUAUGCAUCCUCAUAUCAUACGACUUUAUGAGGUCAUAGAUACCCCAGCGGAUAUUUAUGUUGUUAUGGAGUAUGUUAAAUCUGGGGAGUUGUUUGAUUACAUUGUUGAGAAGGGAAGGUUACAAGAGGAAGAAGCUCGUCGCUUUUUCCAGCAAAUUAUAUCUGGUGUGGAAUAUUGCCAUAGAAAUAUGGUGGUUCACCGUGAUCUGAAGCCAGAGAACCUUCUGUUGGAUUCGAAAUGUAAUGUUAAGAUUGCAGAUUUUGGCUUAAGUAAUGUUAUGCGUGACGGCCACUUUCUGAAGACUAGUUGUGGUAGCCCAAAUUAUGCAGCACCCGAGGUGAUAUCAGGUAAACUGUACGCUGGCCCUGAAGUUGAUGUUUGGAGCUGUGGUGUUAUUCUGUAUGCCCUUCUUUGUGGCACUCUUCCAUUUGAUGAUGAGAACAUACCAAACCUUUUUAAGAAAAUAAAGGGGGGAAUAUACACCCUUCCUAGUCACUUGUCUCCUUUAGCAAGAGAUUUGAUCCCAAGAAUGCUGGUUGUUGAUCCUAUGAAGAGGAUUACCAUACGUGAAAUCCGUGAACAUUCAUGGUUCAAAGCUAGACUUCCACGCUAUUUGGCCGUGCCUCCUCCAGACACUGCACAACAAGUCAAAAAGCUUGACGAUGAAACUCUGAAUGAUGUUAUCAAAAUGGGAUUUGACAAGAAUCAGCUCACUGAAUCUCUUCAAAAGAGAUUGCAAAAUGAGGCGACAGUUGCAUAUUAUUUACUCCUGGACAAUAAGCUUCGUACAACCAGUGGCUACCUUGGAGCCGAGUAUCAAGAGUCAAUGGACUCAUCUUUCUCCCAAGUUUCACCUGAAACACCAAGUUCAGCAUCUGAAGCUCGGCAGUAUGGUUCUCCAGGGUUUGGCUUGAGGCACCAUUUUGCAGCUGAGAGGAAAUGGGCUCUUGGUCUUCAGUCUCGAGCACAUCCACGAGAAAUCAUAACUGAAGUGCUUAAAGCUCUGCAAGAGCUAAAUGUUUGCUGGAAGAAGAUUGGGCACUAUAACAUGAAGUGCAGGUGGAGUCCUGGCUUUGUUGAGACUAUGAUGCAUAACAACAAUGGCUUCGGUGUGGAAUCUGCUAUAAUUGAAGCUGAUGGCCUCAGUGACAAAUCAACCCACAUCGUGAAGUUUGAAAUUCAGCUCUACAAAACAAGGGAUGAGAAGUAUCUUCUCGACUUGCAAAGGGUCAGUGGACCACAGCUCCUGUUUCUGGACCUGUGUUCUGCCUUUCUAACCCAGCUGAGAGUCCUCUGA